CUUUACCCUACUUUUAUGUGGUGUUUCUUACAAUCCUUCUCCUCGACAGGGCGAAAAGGGAUGAUGAUCGGUGCUGAUCCAAGUAUGGAAAAUACUGGAAAUCGUACUGCGAGAAAGUUCGGUACAGGGUCAUCCCCGGAAUUUACUGAGAAAAUGUUGCACAAGUGUUUGUUCUAUGUUGAGAAUGGCAUGUAUAUUCAGCCUUUCCAAAUUAAAUGAUGGCAGGCUGGUAUCAUGUUGUUGUUAUUGUUGUUUUUGUAAUGGUCAACUUUAUGGAUGUUGUAUUUCUCUUAUCUUCAAUGACCAAAAACUUUUCUUGUUUAGGAAAAUUACUAUAAAGUUUUGUUUCUAUUUUUCAUUUUUGAAGUAAAAAUUGUUCAAGAUUAUAAAA
This is a long non-coding RNA of Humulus lupulus (European hop), 391 nucleotides long. RefSeq lists it as uncharacterized. The record is from RefSeq and is a predicted model, not a curated record. Lineage: Eukaryota; Viridiplantae; Streptophyta; Magnoliopsida; Rosales; Cannabaceae. The transcript is spliced from 2 exons.